RNAcentral lists this ribosomal RNA (471 nucleotides) under uncultured bacterium. RNAcentral describes it as "bacterial SSU rRNA". It matches the Rfam family "Bacterial small subunit ribosomal RNA", at positions 791 to 1265 of the family's 1533-position model. The record is from RNAcentral.
UAGUCCACGCCCUAAACGAUGAAUACUCGAUGUUUGCGAUAUACAGUAAGCGUCUAAGCGAAAGCGUUAAGUAUUCCACCUGGGGAGUACGUCCGCAAGGAUGAAACUCAAAGAAAUUGGCGGGGUCCGCACAAGCGGUGGAUUAUGUGGUUUAAUUCGAUGAUACGCGAGGAACCUUACCAGGGCUAGAAUGCUAGUGGAAUAUACCAGAAAUGGUAUAGCUUUUCGGAGCUGCUAGCAAGGUGCUGCAUGGUUGUCGUCAGCUCGUGCCGUGAGGUGUUGGGUUAAGUCCCGCAACGAGCGCAACCCCUAUCGUUAGUUACCAUCAUUAAGUUGGGGACUCUAGCGACACUGCCUGCGCAAGCAGAGAGGAAGGAGGGGAUGACGUCAAAUCAUCAUGGCCUUUAUGCCCUGGGGCUACACACGUAAUACAAUGGGUAAGGACAAAGAGCAGCCAACUGGGUGACAGGU